CCAGCCCUGGAUGCCCAGGUCCUCCCACUUGGUGAUCAGGACUGAACACAGGCAGUGCAACAUGGACCUUACCAUGUGUUGGGUUUUCCUGUUCGUAAUUUUGAAAGGUGUCCAAGCAGAGGUGCAGCUGGUGGAGUCCGGGGGAGGCUUGGUGGCACCUGGGGGGUCCCUGAAACUCUCCUGUUUGGCUUCGGGAUUCACCUUCAGUAACUACUGGAUGGGUUGGGUCCGCCAGGCUCCAGGGAAGGGGCUGGAGUGGAUCUCAUCCAUCAAUUCUAACGGUGGUAGCACAUACUACGCGGACUCUGUAAAUGUCCGAUUCACUGUCUCUAGAGACAAAGGUAAGAACAUGCUGUUUGAGAAAAUGACCAGCCUGAGAAACAAGGACACGUCCGUGUAUUACUGUGCAAGAGACAGAGUUAGGGGACCUCAGUGCGAGCCCCGAUAUGAACAUCCCCGCAGGGGUGCACACACCAGGCAGGGGAAGCUCAAGACAUACAGUACACUGAGAAAGAACACUCUGCAAGUGUACCAAGUCCAAGCACUGUGGCCAUGGAAGCCUUCAUCUGACCUCAAAGCAGACCUGGACAUCUGCAGGCUCAGGCAGCAACCUCUGCAGAAGGCAGAAGCUGCAGAGAACCUUCAAAAACGCAAUGGCAGCACAAGUGUGGGGUGA
Non-coding RNA from Fukomys damarensis (Damara mole-rat), 676 nucleotides. Lineage: Eukaryota; Metazoa; Chordata; Mammalia; Rodentia; Bathyergidae. The record is from the annotation of a RefSeq genome assembly.